This 253-nucleotide ribosomal RNA is filed under the name uncultured bacterium. RNAcentral describes it as "partial 16S ribosomal RNA". It matches the Rfam family "Bacterial small subunit ribosomal RNA", at positions 524 to 776 of the family's 1533-position model. The record is from RNAcentral.
UACAGAGGUCUCAAGCGUUGUUCGGAUUCAUUGGGCGUAAAGGGUGUGUAGGUGGCGCCGUAAGUCAGGUGUGAAAUCCCGGGGCUCAACCCCGGAACUGCACUUGAUACUGCGGUGCUCGAGUACUGGAGAGGAGAUUGGAAUUUACGGUGUAGCAGUGAAAUGCGUAGAUAUCGUAAGGAAGACCAGUGGCGAAGGCGAAUCUCUGGACAGUUACUGACACUGAGGCACGAAGGCCAGGGGAGCAAACGGG